RNAcentral lists this ribosomal RNA (512 nucleotides) under uncultured Enterobacterales bacterium. Its description in RNAcentral is "bacterial SSU rRNA". It matches the Rfam family "Bacterial small subunit ribosomal RNA", at positions 30 to 528 of the family's 1533-position model. The record is from RNAcentral. Lineage: Bacteria; Pseudomonadati; Pseudomonadota; Gammaproteobacteria; Enterobacterales.
AUUGAACGCUGGCGGACAGGCCUAACACAUGCAAGUCGAACGGUAGCACAGAGGAGCUUGCUCCUUGGGUGACGAGUGGCGGACGGGUGAGUAAUGUCUGGGAAACUGCCCGAUGGAGGGGGAUAACUACUGGAAACGGUAGCUAAUACCGCAUAACGUCGCAAGACCAAAGAGGGGGACCUUCGGGCCUCUUGCCAUCGGAUGUGCCCAGAUGGGAUUAGCUAGUAGGUGGGGUAACGGCUCACCUAGGCGACGAUCCCUAGCUGGUCUGAGAGGAUGACCAGCCACACUGGAACUGAGACACGGUCCAGACUCCUACGGGAGGCAGCAGUGGGGAAUAUUGCACAAUGGGCGCAAGCCUGAUGCAGCCAUGCCGCGUGUAUGAAGAAGGCCUUCGGGUUGUAAAGUACUUUCAGCGAGGAGGAAGGCGUUGUGGUUAAUAACCGCAACGAUUGACGUUACUCGCAGAAGAAGCACCGGCUAACUCCGUGCCAGCCGCCGCGGUAAAAGGG